Molecule: long non-coding RNA, 1612 nt
Organism: Triticum aestivum (bread wheat)
Lineage: Eukaryota; Viridiplantae; Streptophyta; Magnoliopsida; Poales; Poaceae
Exons: 2
Source: RefSeq, a predicted model, not a curated record
CCUACCACUACCAUCUACGCCGCUCGUGCCCACCCGACCCACAACCCACCUCCACUCCCACCUUCUUCCUCCUGCGGUUGCCAGGACCCCGCAUCGCCCUGCCUUCCUCUGCGCAGCCGCGCCGACCACCCGGCGCCGCCCCGAUCCGCCGAGCCAUCGCAGCCACCUCCGCCUUGCCCUGAAGCCACCGCUGCCGCCGCCAGGGCCCCGCGCCACCAUCUAGCCACGGCCGUGCCUCCUCUCCAUACGGCCUCCGCGCCUCUCCUUCCCCACCCCACAUCGCCGCCAUGCCCCAAACCACGCCCGACGGCUGUUGUGCAUCCCCUUCCCCACCACCUCAUGGCCCGUGCCGCCAGCCUCCCUCGCAGCCACCACCGAACCUCGACCCUCCCUCGCGGCACCGCCGCACCCCUCGUGGCAUCGGAUCCGGCGAGAUCCGCCCCGCCCCGCGCUCAUCUCGGUGGACAGCGGCUCAUCUUGGUGGAGUUCAACGGCGGAGGGGAAAGGCCCAUGGUGGUCUCGAGCCUCCACCAGUCCCCACGGUGGAGGGCCGUCGCGGCAGCUCUUCUCCUGGGCCCCCUUCUCCUACCCCCAUGACGGCGACGACGACCUCUCCAGCUUGGACUCCUCCAUCUCCUUCAACACCUCGUACCCCUACCCCUACCCCUACGGCAAGUCACCUGGCCCACCAAGCCUACCUCCUGUGGUGGCGCCCCGGGAAAUCAUCAGAUCCUGGCGAGAUCCGGCCAUGGACUUCUUCUCGGGUGUGCAGUUUGGCCCCCGGCGGUGAUGCAGUGCAGCUCCAGAUCCACCGGAGAUCCAUGGCGUCGCUCCGAGCAUAGCCGAAGACCGCCGUGGAGUUCGUCGGUGACGCCCCCUCCACAACUCACGGUGUCCAAGCCGGGUCCACUAGCUGACGCCUCUCGCUCCCCUCUGCAUCUUCAUUCACGCGAGGGAUCCUCCUCGAUCCGUGUUCGCGCCUCCAUGGUUGUGCGCGUGCUUGCAGUACACUGACAUGAGGAGGGCGACGACACGCAUAGGUGAUAUGCAGUAUGCCAGCACACCGAUUACUUACAGUUUUCUCUCUGAAUUAAUCCCUAAACUAACAUGCUUGAAGUUCAGUCCCUGUUUUUUUGUGAUUCAGCUUUGUUGUGGUUUUGGUAGGAGAGCAUAAACACAGGGAAAAGGAGAAAGAAGAAUUUCUUUCCAUGCAGCUCGGCAUGUGACCAGCUCGGUUGCAACACGCUUGUAAGGGAGCGUUGUUUCUCUCUUCAAAGAAAUUAAACAAAACCUUGAGUGUGGCUCACUCUUGGCUAUUACAGUAGUCCAGCUUACUCUUUUGCAAGAGAAAACAGAAGAAAGGUAGAAAACUGCAUUCCAUGAGAAAAAAACAUUUUUGCUGUUUUGUUUGGGAUUUUGGAUGUACAGGAAACUCUUGCAGUGCGGAGUGCAUUUUGGUGCAGGUUUGGGUGUUGUUGACGCAGUGCGGAGUCCUCUCGACGCAUUCCAUAAGCAUUUUUUUUAGGUUUGGCGAAAAAGUUGUUCACUUUAAUUUGUGUAGCAGCUUAUUACCACUCGGUAUGAAGUGCAAUUUGUUUGUGUGUCUCAAAAA